UGGGUAGGGGAGCGUCGUGUGCCGGGUGAAGCAGCCGCGGAAGCGAGUUGUGGACGGUUCACGAGUGAGAAUGCAGGCAUGAGUAGCGAUACAAACGUGAGAAACGUUUGCGCCGAUUGACCAAGGGUUCCUGGGUCAAGCUGAUCUGCCCAGGGUAAGUCGGGACCUAAGGCGAGGCCGACAGGCGUAGUCGAUGGAUAACCGGUUGAUAUUCCGGUACCCGCUGUGAAGCGUCAAACAUCGAACCAGGCGAUGCUAAGUCCGUGAAGCCGCCCCGGAGCCUUCGGGCAAAGGGGAGUGGUGGAGCCGACGAACCAGACUUGCAGUAGGUGAGUGAUGGGGUGACGCAGGAAGGUAGUCCAUCCCGGGCGGUGGUUGUCCCGGGGUAAGGGUGUAGGCCGUGCGAUAGGUAAAUCCGUCGCACAUGAGGCUGAGACCUGAUGCCGAGCCGAUUGUGGUGAAGUGGAUGAUCCUAUGCUGUCGAGAAAAGCCUCUAGCGAGUUUCAUGGCGGCCCGUACCCUAAACCGACUCAGGUGGUCAGGUAGAGAAUACCGAGGCGUUCGGGUGAACUAUGGUUAAGGAACUCGGCAAAAUGCCCCCGUAACUUCGGGAGAAGGGGGGCCAUCACUGGUGAUCCGAUUUACUCGGUGAGCUGGGGGUGGCCGCAGAGACCAGCGAGAAGCGACUGUUUACUAAAAACACAGGUCCGUGCGAAGCCGUAAGGCGAUGUAUACGGACUGACGCCUGCCCGGUGCUGGAACGUUAAGGGGACCGGUUAGUCACUCUUCGGGGUGGCGAAGCUGAGAACUUAAGCGCCAGUAAACGGCGGUGGUAACUAUAACCAUCCUAAGGUAGCGAAAUUCCUUGUCGGGUAAGUUCCGACCUGCACGAAUGGCGUAACGACUUCUCGACUGUCUCAACCAUAGGCCCGGUGAAAUUGCACUACGAGUAAAGAUGCUCGUUUCGCGCAGCAGGACGGAAAGACCCCGGGACCUUUACUACAGUUUGAUAUUGGUGUUCGGUUCGGCUUGUGUAGGAUAGCUGGGAGACUGUGAAGCUCGGACGCCAGUUCGGGUGGAGUCGUCGUUGAAAUACCAGUCUGGUCGUGCUGGAUGUCUAACCCGGGUCCGUGAUCCGGAUCGGGGACAGUGUCUGAUGGGUAGUUUAACUGGGGCGGUUGCCUCCCAAAGGGUAACGGAGGCGCCCAAAGGUUCCCUCAGCCUGGUUGGCAAUCAGGUGGUGAGUGUAAGUGCACAAGGGAGCUUGACUGUGAGACCGACGGGUCGAGCAGGGACGAAAGUCGGGACUAGUGAUCCGGCGGUGGCUUGUGGAAGCGCCGUCGCUCAACGGAUAAAAGGUACCCCGGGGAUAACAGGCUGAUCUUCCCCAAGAGUCCAUAUCGACGGGAUGGUUUGGCACCUCGAUGUCGGCUCGUCGCAUCCUGGGGCUGGAGUCGGUCCCAAGGGUUGGGCUGUUCGCCCAUUAAAGCGGUACGCGAGCUGGGUUUAGAACGUCGUGAGACAGUUCGGUCCCUAUCCGCUGCGCGCGCAGGAAUAUUGAGAAGGGCUGUCCCUAGUACGAGAGGACCGGGACGGACGAACCUCUGGUGUGCCAGUUGUUCUGCCAAGGGCAUGGCUGGUUGGCUACGUUCGGGAGGGAUAACCGCUGAAAGCAUCUAAGCGGGAAGCCUGCUUCGAGAUGAGUAUUCCCACCCACUUGA
This 1721-nucleotide ribosomal RNA is filed under the name Streptomyces galbus. Its description in RNAcentral is "bacterial LSU rRNA". It matches the Rfam family "Bacterial large subunit ribosomal RNA", at positions 1225 to 2823 of the family's 2925-position model. Lineage: Bacteria; Bacillati; Actinomycetota; Actinomycetes; Kitasatosporales; Streptomycetaceae. The record is from RNAcentral.